Molecule: microRNA, 19 nt
Filed under: Nicotiana attenuata
Lineage: Eukaryota; Viridiplantae; Streptophyta; Magnoliopsida; Solanales; Solanaceae
Description: microRNA mir-172-like
Source: RNAcentral
GGAAUCUUGAUGAUGCUGC